CACCUUUAAAAAAAACACACGUGGCUUCUAGAAUAAUUGUUUACAGAGUUUACAGGAAAUGUGUUAAAACAUCACUUAUUAUAUAACAUGUACCUUACAUAUUGACAAGAAAAAUGAUGAGCUGGUACCGUGUUUUCAUCUGCUUUUCAAGUUUUUAAUGUAUGGUUCCCCUCCCUUUUAGGUUGCUACAAGAUUACUACAGUUUUCAGCCAUGCUCAGACAGUGGUUCUUUGUGUGGGUUGUUCAACCGUGCUGUGCCAGCCCACAGGAGGGAAAGCCAGGCUCACAGAAGGCUGUUCAUUUAGAAGAAAGCAACACUAAUCAUCUAUACAAGUUCCUGAAUUCGUGUUUUUCACAGAAAGCCUUAUCAACUUUAGUUACUCUACCAAGACAAUGUAAUUAUUGUUUGAUUUUAUAAAGUCUACAACAAUGAUCUCCUAUUUUGGUGUCAGUUUUUCAAUAAAGUUUUACUUAUGAACAA
Molecule: long non-coding RNA, 481 nt
Filed under: Rattus norvegicus (Norway rat)
Lineage: Eukaryota; Metazoa; Chordata; Mammalia; Rodentia; Muridae
Description: long non-coding RNA NONRATT027854
Source: RNAcentral